AAUGGGAAGUACAACGAGUUGCGAAGUCGCGAGGCUAAGCUAAUCUCUUAAAGCUUCUCUCAGUUCGGAUUGCAGGCUGCAACUCGCCUGCAUGAAGCCGGAAUCGCUAGUAAUCGCGGAUCAGCACGCCGCGGUGAAUACGUUCCCGGGCCUUGUACACACCGCCCGUCACACCACGAGAGUUUGUAACACCCGAAGUCGGUGAGGUAACCUUUUUGGAGCCAGCCGCCUA
This 232-nucleotide ribosomal RNA is filed under the name Enterococcus faecium. RNAcentral's name for it is "partial 16S ribosomal RNA". It matches the Rfam family "Bacterial small subunit ribosomal RNA", at positions 1229 to 1459 of the family's 1533-position model. The record is from RNAcentral. Lineage: Bacteria; Bacillati; Bacillota; Bacilli; Lactobacillales; Enterococcaceae.